UCCAGCUCCAAUAGCGUAUAUUAAAGUUGUUGCGGUUAAAAAGCUCGUAGUUGGAUUUCUGCUGAGGAUGACCGGUCCGCCACUGGGUGUGUAUCUGGCUCAGCCUUGGCAUCUUCCUGAAGAACGUAGCUGCACUUGACUGUGUGGUGCGGUAUUUAGGACAUUACUUUGAGGAAAUUAGAGUGUUUCAAGCAAGCGUA
Molecule: ribosomal RNA, 200 nt
Filed under: uncultured eukaryote
Lineage: Eukaryota
Description: partial 18S ribosomal RNA
Rfam family: Eukaryotic small subunit ribosomal RNA
Source: RNAcentral